UACGGAGGAUGCAAGCGUUAUCCGGAAUUAUUGGGCGUAAAGCGUCCGCAGGUGGCACUUCAAGUCUGUCGUCAAAGACUGGGGCUUAACCCCGGAAAGGCGGCGGAAACUGAAGCGCUAGAGUGCGGUAGGGGUAGAGGGAAUUCCCGGUGUAGCGGUGAAAUGCGUAGAGAUCGGGAAGAACAUCGGUGGCGAAAGCGCUCUACUGGACCGCAACUGACACUCAGGGACGAAAGCUAGGGGAGCGAAUGGG
Molecule: ribosomal RNA, 253 nt
Filed under: uncultured bacterium
Lineage: Bacteria
Description: partial 16S ribosomal RNA
Rfam family: Bacterial small subunit ribosomal RNA
Source: RNAcentral